Molecule: long non-coding RNA, 538 nt
Filed under: Brassica rapa (field mustard)
Lineage: Eukaryota; Viridiplantae; Streptophyta; Magnoliopsida; Brassicales; Brassicaceae
Description: long non-coding RNA (BRAP_LNC006589)
Source: RNAcentral
AAAAUGGUACGUCUAACCAUAUGGGACAACGAAGCGGCUAAUUUCAGGGAGUUAAAUCACAUAUCUACCAUGAAAAACCAAAAUCGUAAUCAUCACAAGUAUCAUUCCAAGGUUACAUAAAAGAUAAUAAACUAAACAAAAAAUUUAUGUCAAACUAAAUGCUUACAAAUAUUACACUUAUACAGAAAAACUAUCACUCACAACCACAUCAGGAUCGCACUUUUACUUUGACACCGACAUUGAUAUCAUACAACGCUUCUAAAAGACGAAUAAACUGCUAUCAUAAGCCUGAUAGCAAACGACACCACUCAAUACUCAAAAAUACUCUUUUCUCCUAUAAAAUUUGAUUGCUCAACACAAUAUAUUAUUCAAACUCACUUUUGUUUAGAAAAGAAAAACUGAUCACCGCAUCACAUUCAAACAAAAACUCCAUGGUUAAAUCUACAACACACAAAAUUAACAAACACUUUUUUAAACUAAAAACUACUAAUCAAAAAUAUAAAUUUUCUUAAUUUGAACAUGUUAUCCGCGCGUAGCG